CGGGUUGAGUGGCGGACGGGUGAGUAACGCGUGAGAAUCUGCCUUGGGGUCGGGGACAACCAGUGGAAACGGUGGCUAGAUACCGGAUAAGCCUUUGGGUAAAAAAUUUAUUGCCCCAAGAGGAGCUCGCGUCUGAUUAGCUAGUUGGUGAGGUAAAAGCUCAGCAAUGCAGCGAUCAGUAGCUGGUCUGAGAGGACGAUCAGCCACACUGGGACUGAGACACGGCCCAGACUCCUACGGGAGGCAGCAGUGGGGAAUUUCCCGCAAUGGGCGAAAGCCUGACGGAGCAAGACCGCGUGAGGGAGGAAGGCUCUUGGGUUGUAAACCUCUUUUCUCAGGGAAGAAGCUCUGACGGUACCUGAGGAAUCAGCCUCGGCUAACUCCGUGCCAGCAGCCGCGGUAAUACGGAGGAGGCAAGCGUUAUCCGGAAUUAUUGGGCGUAAAGCGUCCGCAGGUGGCGAUUCAAGUCUGCUGUCAAAGCACAGGGGCUUAACUCCGUUAAGGCAGUGGAAACUGAAUAGCUAGAGUGCCGUAGGGGUAGAGGGAAUUCCCGGUGUAGCGGUGAAAUGCGUAGAGAUCGGGAAGAACAUCGGUGGCGAAAGCGCUCUACUGGACGGCAACUGACACUCAGGGACGAAAGCUAGGGGAGCGAAUGGGAUUAGAUACCCCAGUAGUCCCAGCUGUAAACGAUGGAUACUAGGUGUAGCUUGUAUCGACCCGAGCUGUGCCGAAGCUAACGCGUUAAGUAUCCCGCCUGGGGAGUACGCACGCAAGUGUGAAACUCAAAGGAUUGGGGGGCCCGCACAACGUGGAGUAUGUGUUUAUUCGAUCACGCGAGACCUUACCAGGGCUUGACAUGUCCGGAUCCCGUGAAGUGGGGGCCUUCGGGACCGGACACAGUGGUGCAUGCUGUCGUCAGCUCGUUUAGAUGUUGGUAGUCCCGCAACGAGCGCAACCUCGUCUUUAGUUGCCAGCAUUAAGUUGCACUCUAGAGAGUGCCGGUGACAAACCGGAGGCAGGUGGGGAGACUCAAGUCAGCAUGCCCCUACGUUGGGCGACACACGUAUACAUGGUCGGGACAGAGGGCAGCGACCUGCGAAGGCAAGCUAUCCCAGCAACUCGCCUCAGUUCAGAUCGCAGGUCAUCGCCGCGUGAAGGAGGAAUCGCUAGUAAUC
RNAcentral lists this ribosomal RNA (1175 nucleotides) under uncultured organism. Its description in RNAcentral is "bacterial SSU rRNA". It matches the Rfam family "Bacterial small subunit ribosomal RNA", at positions 87 to 1343 of the family's 1533-position model. The record is from RNAcentral.